Molecule: long non-coding RNA, 4210 nt
Organism: Eriocheir sinensis (Chinese mitten crab)
Lineage: Eukaryota; Metazoa; Arthropoda; Malacostraca; Decapoda; Varunidae
Exons: 3
Source: RefSeq, a predicted model, not a curated record
UAUCACAGUGUUCAAAGUGAAAAGUGGACUCUGGUGGUGAGGGGUGUAUCGUGUCACUGCCCACCACUCUACAGGGAUGAGCACCGGGCCCUACGGUUGCAGCUGCUCCACCCCGCCUGCAGGAGUCUGGCAGGCACAGCAGAGGGUCAUGUCAGGACUGCCGGAAGUAUGUUAGUAUAACAAUUGACAGAAACCCCACUGUUCCGUAGACAUGACACUAUGCUGUGACUGCUGGGCUCCUGCCGUCACUUAGCUGACCCUCUGGCUAGUUGGAAUGGGCCACGGCGCCAGGCUGGCCAGUGUGGAGGCGCAUGCAGGCCAUCACUUCAGUAAUGGUAAGUCCCCUGUACAGCUCAUCGCGGGACAACGAGGGACAGCGCAGGAGCAACAGCAUCUGUCAAGGAAAGUGAAACAUAUUAUUUUGUCAGGGUUAGGAUGUUAGGUGCUAGGAUGCUAAUUCUGAUUCCCUUUCAGGUUCUCAUGGAACUUUAUAAUAUGAAAGUUUUUCAGGACCAUGAGCAUUUGCCAUCGAAUGAAAGCAUGUUGUGGCAGCCCCUCAGCUUCUGCAUGUUGCUGUACCCAGUGAAAACUACUGAAAAGUCUGUGAAUCAAGACAAGGAUUCCAAAGCUCUACCAAGUGAAAAAUGACAAGUGAAUCUGAACAAGGAUUACAAGCAGUAAUAAUUGGUAAGAAUUUAAGAGAUACUUUCUUUUAGGGUUUGUUUAUUUCUUUUCAGAUUAGGUUUAUUAACUUUUGAGAAUUUUUCCCUUUCAGUCCUUGGCUGUUUUCCUCUUGCGUAUCCUUAAAGUUCUUAUUCAUUGUCCAUCAUGCAGUAUUCAUGCUCCAGGUUUUUUCUUGCUUGCCUACAGCCUCAUUUUCAAGCUAAUGAUUGCUCAUGUUCUUCCUCAUCUUUUCAAGUUAUUUUGUUCUUGUCAUAUAAGCUCCUCAUUCUCAUUUCAAUCUGACAAAAUUACUGGCAACAUGUUUCAUCUUCUGCGGUCAUUCAUCGUACAUAUUUAACCCUUUCCUUGCGCACGGUGCGGACACGACUAUCCCCUAAGGCGUAGUCGGGGAGCCCAAUGGGGGGUCUCUUUUAACCUCUGUAUCUCAAAAACUAUUCAUCACAGCUAAAAACCAAAAACACCAUUGUAAAGAGGAGGUCCAGAUCUAUAGGAGUCGGAUAUGUAUGCCUCUCUUGCGAACGUACAUGCACGUUCAGGGAGUGUUGAAUGUUAAAACUUACGUCGGUGCGUGCAGGAUGAUCAGCCAUAUCGAGGGAACUGCGGACAUCACUCCUUCAGAUUCUGGCAAGGAAGCAUUGCCAACUGCAAUAUUUACAACUAUUUGGUCAAAGAACCAGUCAGGUGAUAGGUGAAGCUAUGCAAAGAUGCCGCUAUAUUGGGCAAGAACAUCCACCAGUCACUCGUCCGUAGAUUUGCCGCGCUGGGCUGAUAUGAUUUUCCACCAAAUUUAGUGAAGAACCCACUCAAUUGGCAAUCCUGUGUUGUGAGAAUUAGUGUUGGAACACUCUCCUACGCGGGAGAUUUGAGUGCGGGUGGAGCUCGCAGAGAGCAUUUAGCAGCACCAGCAAAUACGUCUAACGCUCGCUGCGAGCGUUUAGCAAUGAAAGGGUUAAGUGGGAAAGCAGCAAGAAACAUGAGGACAUGACAUAUUGGAUGAGCUUUCUCGGUGCAGGUAAAAAAAGUUCACAACUAAGUUCUUGAAGUAUAAAGGAGAAGUGCUGGUGAAGGCAUGACUACCAAUGAGGGUUAACAAAGUAGGCAGAAUGUAUGGAAAAAGAUGAGGGAAACAUUUUAAUCACAUCAAGGGAUAGUGUUUGCUUCCAUGUUGAGGACAUAGUUGUCUGCCCCAGUCACUGAUAGGUUUGGUGCAAUUCAUCGUUGUGCCUACACAUGGCAGUAGUUGCUUGGGGCAUGGUCAGUAAUGCUUGGUAUCCAUAUUCAUUGGCUGCCUUCAGUGGGAGAGUUGGGUGUAAAUUUUUUUUGGUUCGUUGUUAAGAUACCUAAAAAACUGAUUGACAAAUAGGCACCAAAUAGAUAAGAGAACAUUCUUUAGUGAAUACCUCAUGCUGACUAAAUCUUAGGAAAAAUGUAGUACUGACUUGUAUAAUGGCUGAUAAAAUAUGAAAACAAUAAAUGGCUUUGGGGUGGCAUGUGUAAAAGCUGCCUCUUUGUGGAUGCUUCGACUAAUACCCCAGCAGUGAGCAGGUGCCGUUAGAAGUUUCUGCUGCCUGGGGUGUGCUGUUUGUUCCUUUUAGGAUAAAAAUUGAUGAGGCAACAAAGGAUCGUAGAAGAGGUGAUCCACAGGAGCUAUUGUGUGAGAACGAUUUAGAGUUAGCAGCUGAAACAAGGGAUAGAGAGCAAGAGAGGGACAGUUAUAGGAGGGCUACAGAUAAAUAGAAUAAACAGGAGCAUUUUACUAUAAACAGGAAAAGUAUUUUAAGCAUGUAUGAGAUCAGUAUUGCUAUAUGGCUCUGAGACAUGAGCUUAAAUGAAGUCAGAGGAUGUAUUGGUUGGCAUUGAUAGGAGAAUGUUGAGUCAAUGGAUGGGAUCACAUGGAGAGAUGGUCCAGUGAGGAGAUGACAAGUAGAUGUGAAUUGAAGGAUCUGAGUACGAUGUUGAGAGUCCAUAGGUUAUGGUGGUUCAGGCAUGUGAAGAAGAGGGGGAAUGGUGAAGCAUUGGGGAGAGCUGUUGGGGUGGAAGUGCCAGGUCACCACCCACUAGGCAGGCCAAAGGAGAUACUGAGUUUGUUCAGGAUUUAGCAGCACAGUUGGAAGUGUAUCAUCGACUGUAACCUCGUAGGAGAUUAUGGGAAAACUUGACGGCAAUGAGUGGAGAAAAGAGGCUCAACAGUGAAGAUAGAUUAAACGAAGAUGGUGCCAGGCUAGAUGAUUGGAGAUAAUGUGCAGGUGGGAAGAUGCCUUUUGUGGUAUGUGAGUGGAGUUAGGUGUUUAUAGCUAAGAUCCCUCAAUAGUGGUUGAUUUUGUGUCCAUGUGUUGGAAGGAACAAAGGCAAAGUUUUGGAGAUGGAUUUGACAACAGAGAUGGAUGGUGGAAUUAUAGGGGAAGUAAAGCGGUUUUAUUUACUUAGAUUUUGGGCAGGAAGGAAGGGUGGAGUGGAGAAAGUAGACAGAGGAAGCUUGGCAGCGGCUUGGAGAAGCUGUAAAGAAAUUUGAGUCAAUGGAACCAUUCUGGGGGGGUUGUGGGGGUGGGCAGGGCUAUGCUCCCCCUGGUGUAGGACCCAAUUAAUUGAUUGAAGUGUUUAUUAAUGUACAGAGGCAAGGUAUGACACUCAUUACAUCUGUGCUGUUCUGUGGAGCAGAGGCGUGGGUUCUGGUGAAGCUACAUCUGUGCUGUUCUGUGGAGCAGAGGCAUGCAUGGGUUCUGGUGAAGCUGGAGGUUGUAUUGAUAUAACACAAUUUGGAUAUUUCGGUAUGGCUGGUGUCACCUGGAGUGUUGGUGUUUGUGAUGGCAGCAGGAAGAUAGCCAGGGAACCGAGUUGUGCUCAGGGUGCUUACACCAAGACGGUUCAAAUAUGAAAAGAAAAUAUAUGGAUGAGGAUGUAGCCACUCGUGUUAAUGAAGAAGCUUGAUAAACAGUUGGAGGAUGGUCGUGAAAUGUCUAGCUACAUAAAUAAAAUUACAGUAAACCCUCCAUAAAUCUGAGUACAGUAAACCCCGCUUAAGUCGGACCCGAAUAAGCCGGAUAUCUGGUAAAUCGGACACUUUCAGGAUUUUUAUUUUAUUUUAUUUAUUUUUAUUUUUUUAUUUAUUUUUUAUUUUUUACGUUCUAUCCAGAGUGCACCGUUAGGCAUUUUUUGCCCUUUGAUUGAGUAGUUUUAAGCCACUCGGCUUAUAUAGCGGCUAAAAUACCCCUGAUAGCUCUUACAUCGUCCGAGUCAUUUGAGGAGUUGUCUGAGCCGUUGAAGACACGAAACGUUCAUUUCCUUUCAGGUUAAUGUUCAUUUCCUUCCAGGUUAAUGUUCAUUUCCUUCCAGGUUAAUGUUCAUUUCCUUCCAGGGUAAUGUUCAUUUCCUUCCAGGUUAAUGUUCAUUUCCUUCCAGGUUAAUGUUCAUUUCCUUUCAGGUUAAUGUUCAUUUCCUUCCAGGUUAAUGUUCAUUUCCUUCCAGGGUAAUGUUCAUUUCCUUCCAGGUUAAUGUUCAUUUCCUUUCAGGUUAUUGUUCAUUUCCU